AACGAACGCUGGCGGCAUGCCUAACACAUGCAAGUCGAAAGAGACCUUCGGGUCUCGUGGCGCACGGGUGCGUAAAGCGAGGGAACCUGCCCUUAGGUUCGGAAUAACUCCCCGAAAGGGGUGCUAAUACCGGAUAAUGUCAUCGGAACAAAGAUUUAUCGCCUUUGGAUGGGCCCGCGUUGGAUUAGCUAGUUGGUAGGGUAAAAGCCUACCAAGGCGACGAUCCAUAGCUGGUCUGAGAGGAUGAUCAGCCACACUGGGACUGAGACACGGCCCAGACUCCUACGGGAGGCAGCAGUGGGGAAUAUUGGACAAUGGGCGAAAGCCUGAUCCAGCAAUGCCGCGUGAGUGAUGAAGGCCUUAGGGUUGUAAAGCUCUUUUACCCGGGAUGAUAAUGACAGUACCGGGAGAAUAAGCUCCGGCUAACUCCGUG
Molecule: ribosomal RNA, 433 nt
Filed under: uncultured bacterium
Lineage: Bacteria
Description: partial 16S ribosomal RNA
Rfam family: Bacterial small subunit ribosomal RNA
Source: RNAcentral